This 5790-nucleotide long non-coding RNA is filed under the name Phoenix dactylifera (date palm). RNAcentral's name for it is "long non-coding RNA (PDAC_LNC003359)". The record is from RNAcentral. Lineage: Eukaryota; Viridiplantae; Streptophyta; Magnoliopsida; Arecales; Arecaceae.
UUUUUUUGGGAUACAUAUCUUGCCGACUUUAAACGACCAUUUAAACGCCCGUCAUGGACUGACAAAUUGAUCUAGAAAUAAUUCUUCUCCGACUUCAUAUUGGGAUUGCCAGGGCAAGGGGAGUCCCAUUCUUUUCCAGUAGGUGGGGACAUCUUCCCUUGUUGAGUUUUUUCCCUUUCUUGUUCCCCCGCCCCAUCUUGGCCUCCUUCUUCUCGAAUCGCCGGUGCCCGGAGCUCUCUCUCUCCAAAUCCUUCUCCGCAUCCGAUGGCGCUCGUCCGCCACUCCUAUCGCCGGAAAGGCUUCCUGGUCCCCAAGAACUCCGAUCUUCGGACUCGACCUGGAGUUGCCUUCCUAUCGUUGCUCCGGCGGCCCAACAGCAGAUCCAAUCACGAAUGGGGCCUGAUCCUUCUAUCAGUCUAAUUCUUGCAUUGGAGAAAGGCUUUAAGCUGCCGAUUAGAACGCCGAAAAUCUUGGUGGAAACCCUAAUAUUUGCGGUCGUCGACCACAUGUCGGUAAGGCGAUUCUUGUCUUUCAUUUUGUUAUAAAUCACAUUAUUUAUGAUGAAAGAUCCCUUCUUAUUUCGAUAUUUGUUUGGUAGAUGCCGCUGAAUAGAAUUCGCUUCUUUCUUGAUGCUUCUUUCUCCGAUAAGCUGGUCCUUUUCCUUUCUCUUCUCUAUGAUCGCAUUAUUUAUGAUGGAAGAUCCCUCCGUAAUUCGAAAUUUGUUGAGUAUACGUCAGUGAAUAGAAAUCGCUGCCUUCUUGCUGCUUCUUUGUCCGGCAAACCGAUCCUUUUCAUUUCUUUUCUCUAUAAAUCGCGUUAUUUAUGAUGAAAGAUCCCUUCAUGAUCCACGAAAUUUGUUGAGUAGAUAUUGGUUAAUGGAAUUCAUUGCCUACUUUGUGCUUUGUUCUCCUUUGUUUCCUUAAUUUCUUCUCCAUGGUUUCAUCGUGGGGACACAUGCAAGGUUUCAUAAAGUUCCUAACUCGCUAGAAUUGAUGAUUUCAUAUGUAUAGGUGUUCCAAAGGAAAUGCAUGGUUUUUCUAAGAAAAUUUGGUGAAUUCCUUUUUUCAGAUGGAUUUGAUUUUGCAUGUCGCCUAAACUAAAAAAGCUAUUGCUAUGUAUGCACAUAUAUGUUAAGGUGGAAAAUUAGAAAGAGUUAGAAAUAUGAUGGAAGGGAACUUUAUUGUGGUGAUUAAAUAAGAAACUAAAUGAAGAACAGUUUGAUAUGGUCAGUAAGGGUACGUCUCAAGGAAAAGUGGGUGCAAAAUUUGAAAUUUUUAUGCUAAGAGACGCUAUAAUUAGGAAAAAUGUCAUCAUCUAACAUGACACAUGUUAGGGAUCCAAACACGUGCACCCAUCUCUGAGAGUCUAUCUAAUAUACCUUUGUUCUUUUUACAAUUUACUGUUUAGGUGGACCCUGUGAUUAACAUAUAGGUGCACUUUUCGUCUUAACCUAUUUACUUGAAUUCAUUUAUUUGUCAUCAUUGAAGAAGGCCAUCGGAUUAUCUACUGUUCUUUUAGAAACACCGGUACUUAUAAUAGGGCUCCAUAGAUUCCUGGGAUAAAAAGUUUUUUUGAUGUCAGUUAUAGAUUGAGAUGAAAGCUUAGUGAUAUUCAAGGUUGGAACUAGUGCAUCAGAGAAGAAAAAAGGGAGGAAAAUAUGCAUAUUAGUGAAGUUAUACAUGCAGAGGCUUUGAUCUCCUGAGAUUAGCCUGAAUUACAGAUGCAUCUACCAGGAAGAAAGGAGGAAAAAGAAUGGAACAGUUGGACAUGAAAGAAUAAGGUGCAAGAUUCACAGAUAGGAAGAGCAUCCAAAGGAGGUGUUUUAGGCAUGAGAAAGUCUGGAUAAGAUAUCGUGAUGGCGUUGAUGAAAUCCAACUGCAUCUUUUUUCCAACCAAGGCCGUGGAAGACGCUGCUUAGAAGUGCUAGUUUCUAGGCAAUGCUGGUCUCAGUUUGAAUGGGAAUUGAUGUGGGAAAUUCUUGAGGUGCACACAGAUAGAUAGUUGGAUAGAUAGAUGCACACGUCCAAAAAAAAGGAAUUCUGUUGUCCUGAAAAGUGGUAUGUGGAGGAUUAUGAGUUGGGCUAAUGGAGGAUACAACAAGAAUUGGCACUAUAGCUGAAUAGCAAUACUCUAGAGAUCUCCACCUAUCAUGUUCGGAUCUUGUAGUGGACUAAUGAAUGAAGCAUAGUACAAGGAAGGGAAUACAGGGAUUUUUAUGUGACAAUAUAGGAUUAAAAGGUUUAAUAAUUAAACGGACUUAACAAGGGGUCUAAGGGGAAUGUUCUUGAAGGGUUUAAGUUCUGUUAACACUAUUUGAACAUUUCAGAUAUUUUGUAGCAGGCCAGGUCAACCAUUAACAAUUUAAAGAAGAAUAAAAACAUAAAAAAACAAAACAAGAAAGAGAAGGAGAAAAGGAAAAAAAGGAGAUGGACAAAGAAAUAUCAGCAAACAAACUUACUUCCCUUCUCAAAAGAAACUCAGAAAACAACUCAGCCUCCCAUUUCCAGCCAGCCUUCUCACGUACACAAAAUGGCUUGUGAUGAUAAUUUUGUGCAUUACAACUCUGCAAACAUGGAUAGGAGGUAAUAUUUACAGAGAGAGAUCUGUUGCUGUGAAACAGUAAUAUCAUUGUAAUCAUCAACAAGGACCAAAACACAUACAAAGAGAGAGUGAGCAAGAGAGAAAGAGACUCGACUAGCUCCUUUUCCCCAUAUUAGCUAAGAUAUAUGUAAUUUGGUUAAAAUCAUUGAAUGAUAAGGGGCAAAAUAAAAGCACAUGUUGUCAUUCACCCGUUAAUCUUCAUUAAUUUGUUAUUUACAUCUAAGAGCGGUACUUCUUUAAAAUCCUUGCCACAAUUCUCUUAAAUAAAAUAGAGAUAGAGUAUUUAUUUAUUGACCAGAUGGUGGUAGAUCCUUGCUACAAUUUUUAAAUAAAAUAGAGAUAGAGUAUUUAUUUAUUGACCAGAUGAUGUUGUGGAUGAUGGUAGUCCUACCAGAUGAUCUUUCUGGUUGUCUUGGACCAAGGGUGGUUUAAUAGGUGAUUAGUUAGUUUUACCUAGGCACUUAAGCAAAACUCACCACCUAGGUGCACCUGCUUAUGCACGCAUUUGAAGAUUACACUAACUUGCCGUGCAUUUGCCCAGCUAAUUUUACAUGUUAUGUAUCAAGUAUAAAUUAAAUGAAUGGUUUGUGCUGGAACAUCUAACCCUUCUCCCAUGAUAUACUUUUAGCAUCAAGAGGAUAUCCAAUAAAACAAUUAAACAAGAGCCAACUAACUUUUCAAACAAUAAUUUACUCAUUUACUGAUUUUAUACCCCAAGUAGUUGAAAGUCUGGAAUCUUUUCACUUGUAGCUUAUUUAGGGAUCUAGAGAAACAUUCAAUAGUUUGUUGUUCCUAUUUUAAAAACCUCACCAAAAUCUUGUGCUGCCAUUUGUCUAGCCAACUCUUGAUUGAUGAGGGGCUCAUCAGGAACCUUGAUCCAGAUAAACCCAGAUCUGUCUUUAGGUAUUUUAAUUAUUGUGGGUCGUAAUUAAUAUUGCGGACCCUCAACUUUUUAGCCCAUUGUUGAUUUUGCAUUACUCAUGUAUUUACAGGAGGAUGUGGAGGGUGUUAAGGAUUGACUAUUUAUGUAUUGUUGUUGAUUCUACAAUAUAUAGUAGAGAUAAAAACACUCUGGUAUCAAAAUCGCCAUGGCAUGUAUGAGCUAGAAAGACCUAGUGUGAAGGGAAUUUUAUUAGGUCUCCUAAUCGAAGGAAGUGAUGCUGAGAAAUGAUAUUUGACAUUCAGCGUGCUGGUUAGUUAAUGAAGCUUACACCAAUUGGAAUGGUUAGCAUUAGAAGCCCGAGUUGGAGUCUCUUGCUCUGAGUUAGGCAGGACCAAGUCUUUUACUUCAAGAUCAUUUUAAUUGUAGAUAUUUCUUAGGGUCAUCAAAUCACGCGAGAAAAAAAUUUAAUAAAUGUAAUUGAAAUGUUGGAUUCUUUGUUUGCUAAAGUUUCAAGCAUAUUUAUAAAGUUCAUAUGUUUGCUCUCUCUAUUCCUUUUUUCCAAACUGGAGCUUUCAUUAUAUAGCUGAAUUAUCGAGAUUACCGCUUAACACGCAUAACAUAACGGGUUUCUAGCAUGGCUCGGCUUCAUUGAGAAAUACAGAGUGACCUGCUCAUUUCAUUGCUUGAUGAUAAAGCACGUACAAUAAUCGUAAAAAUUUUGACUUCAAAUAAAUAUUUGCAUGAAAAAUGUCAAAUUAAUCUUUAUGAAGUAUGAGACAGGAAAAUCUGGAAACCUUGAACAACCAUGGAAGAAAAUAUAAUCUACAAGAAGCCAAAAUCACUUAUGAAUCUAGACAAGUUUACUGUUGACUGAGACACCGUCGCUGACUCUAAUGGUUUUGAAUUUGAAAAUCCAAGAGGAAGAGUUGCUAAGGAGUCGCCCUUCUCCUCGCCUCUGCCUCCAGAUUAGAAUUACUGUGGCCUCCAUAUCGAAAUAUUCCCCGUGUAAUUUGAGCAGGUCGUUUCAACUUUCGAACCAAAUGGGUUUCCCACCUUCAUUGUUUCUCGGCAUUUGGCCCGCCGUUCGCGGAGGUCCUUUUCCCGAACCCUCCCACCAUAUGAUAAACCCUCACCGAGUGAUUUGGUUUUCUUUGUCUUCGCCUCUCUCUCCACCCCGGGACGGAGGCCCGAAGCUAGCCGCCUCUCUCUCUCUCUCUACUACUUUCUUUCCUACGGAUAAGUAUUUUUUUCUUUAAUUUCGUGUUUUAAUCUUGUGGUCGAGAAAUUUUUUUUUUUUACUCUUUUUUGUGUGAACAUUUUGAGAGGACGGCAGUGUUGCAAUGAUGAAAACCAGAUCGGUCGAAAGCGUUUUCCGAAUGUUUGAUGGGAUGCAAUCGUUUUCCUGAGGGAUUGUCUGAGCAACAUCGCCCAGACCCUCCCGCGCCGGGCGCAACCCCUUUUUGGCAUAUUAAAUGGAAAUAAUAAUUUGAAUCCAUUUUCUUUUCAAAAAACAAAAUAAUCUGAAUCCAGAAAAGAAGGGAUUUUGGUUAAUUACGAGGAACUUAUACGUUGGUGAAAAGAUCUUGGAAUCGCAAUUUUUUUGAUAACUACGACAUAUCGAAGGUGACAGAUCAUUGAGAGGUGUAACAUAUCCUCGGUGAACUUGAUUAUAGAGGAAAUAAUUACAACCUAGAGGUUCACAAUUUGUUGUCAAAUUCUUGUGUUGACGUAGGCAGUUAAUUAAUACGUUUUAUUUCUUAUGAACUAGUAAUUUUGGUAAUGUCAAUUUCCUGUUGAUUAAUAUUUGUUUGAAGGCUUAUAUUAAAUGGUACGGCAGAAACCCGUAGUUGUACAAAACUUGUCAAAUAAACCUGUCCCAAAUAACCUGUAGAAAUGUUUAAGCAAAAAAAAAAAAACCUGUAGAAAUGCAACUAUAGCAGGAAAAUCAGAGUUGGGUGUGAAAGCAGUAGAAAUUUAUCAAGUACAGCAGCAUUGUACUUGAUAAGUAGGCCUAGGUACCGCUCGUCCUCGCCGCAACAAACCUAAUGUUGGCUACAUUUUGAAGGACCAUAGCUUUCAAAGAUUUGAUUUAACAUCAUCAUCUAUAACAACUUCACAUGCAUCUAAACAUUUGACUCAAGACUACAGUUAAAACAAGUUUUUAGUCUUUACAGUCCAUGCAACACUACUAUUCCGCUCCCACGCAAUUUGGUCAGGUUAGAUACCAACUUCCAUUAAAAGGCUAACAAAGAUGAGAUGAUUAUAUUGCAGCAGGCUCGAUUUUCUGCAUAUGAAGUCUAUCAUCU